RNAcentral lists this long non-coding RNA (1384 nucleotides) under Homo sapiens (human). Its description in RNAcentral is "HSALNT0391864". The record is from RNAcentral. Lineage: Eukaryota; Metazoa; Chordata; Mammalia; Primates; Hominidae.
AAAGAAGGAGGUUUGCCGAACAGCCUCGAAUAUUACGGCGGGAGAAGCGAUCAGUUAAUGGCACUGGAUGCAAUGAGCGUGUGAAGAAUCCAACCUCUCCCGUCACCAGCACUUGCCAGAUCUUCGCUCAGUCAACUCUUCGGAUCUUUGCUGGGAGACCACAGGGUUUUCAACGUCAGCCUCCGGCCACCUCCUCGAUUUUGCCUGAGGCACUGGUUGGAGCCUUCCCCUGUGUGGCUCUCCACGGGGUCAGAACACCUGGGACUCAGUCCGUGAAGCAGGAUCCCACCAGGUGGAGGUGCAGGAGACAGUACUGAUGAGUGAGUACCUGGGAGCAACCCUCAGCCAGGUGUGCGCAGGCCAUUGGUGCACCACCGUAGCUUGUGCUGUCUGCCGGAGCUCCCAAGCGGGAUGGAGCGCCUGGCGAUCAUGGUGAUAAUUGUAUGAAUAAGGCAUUUUUAUUGGUUGCCUUCCUGUCCUCAUCUCCUGUCCCCACUCCUGGAUUCCUCUCCCAAUUCAAUGACUUGCAGUCAACUCCUCGUCUCAAAGUCUGCCUUCUGGGGAGCCCAGCUGUGGGCUGCACAGAUGAGAAAAUCCACCCAAAUGGACUCCAUGGCCAGGAAGUGAGUGAGCCCUUGAUGGAUAGCCAAGGUCCUUGUCUCUGUUAGAGUGGAUUGUGGCAAAAUUGGUGGUUAUCAGUCUGUUUUGAGGGGCCCAUCUCCCCACAAGGAGAAGUGAGCUAGAAGCAAAGACAGAGACCGCUUCAUUUUAGGACAGUUUCCUUCCUCUAUCCACAGCUCAGCAUCAGAUAGAAGCCUGGGGCGUUUAUCUGUUGAGCAUGGGACGCAGCUUGGACAGUGGUUUGCUUUCCUCUCUGAAAUGCACUUUUCCAAGGCCAAAUCGCAGAUAAGCAGCUUCCCCCUGGAGUACCCCUGUUUUAUGCGGGGUAGGGAGGGCCGUGGGUGCGAUUAUGCUGGUCUGGAAGCACACAUUGACUUUAGAUAGUCCACACAGUGCAUGCUCAGUGGAAAAUCGAGAGGUGUUGUGCAUCUUGAGUCACCACCCUCUCUCACCACAGGGUCAAUCAUGAGGGGAGGAAGGGGAGGCAGAGGGAGGAAUGGAACCUGAUGCUGUCGGUGAACCUGAACAUGGACAGAGUGUGGGGGGCUCAGUGGAGUCCACAGAAGCCCCCUCCCAGAAUAAGGAGGCUGCUGGCCGGAGCUGAGUGCAGGGAGGGAGGCAUCUUAUCAGCUCCCGGACCACACUUGCCGUCCUUCCCUCUGGAGGCACCACCCAUUUGCUGUGUGCCAGUAGCAGCAUCAUUGAGACCAGAUUAAAAAUGUCUGUGCCCUUUAAAGGUGGGAUGUUUUAUUUUUUUAUUUGA